This is a long non-coding RNA of Passer domesticus (house sparrow), 448 nucleotides long. RefSeq lists it as uncharacterized. The record is from RefSeq and is a predicted model, not a curated record. The transcript has 3 exons. NCBI's taxonomy places the organism in Eukaryota, Metazoa, Chordata, Aves, Passeriformes, Passeridae.
ACAAAUAUCCAUAAUUUCUGGCUGCAUCUCAGAUUUCUUUCCCACCAGGUCAUCCAGCCUUAUGUCAAUUUACUGCAGGCACGCAGCCAAAAGUUGCAAGGUUUCUGUAGCAUUCUUCAAAAAUCCAAGUCAAAACCAGGAAUAUGGAAUGAGGUUCACUUUCCACUGCUUUCAAGAUCUCCUUGCCAUCAUCUUUCUCAUUCAGCUUUGGUUCUCAGGAAGUGAAAGGAAGUCAAACUACUAAAAUGCAAGCAAUGAGCAAGAGCUUCCCUCUUAGGUGUCCACAGCUUCCUGAGGAGUGGAAGUGGAGAGGUUUAACACAUUAUGUUUGACACUCCAUCAUCAAGUUAUAUGACUCAACACCUUAAGGAACAACUCAGCCUGGAAAAGCACAAGAACCACUGAUAUGUCAAGAUGUUAUUUCAAGUUCAACCCAAGCAACACAACC